GACGAACGCUGGCGGCGCGCUUAACACAUGCAAGUCGAGCGAGAACCAGGGCUUCGGCCCUGGGGAAAGCGGCGAACGGGUGAGUAACACGUGAGUAACCUGUCCUCGGCACCGGGAUAGCCCGGGGAAACCCGGAUUAAUACCGGAUGGCCUUUCGAGUCUUCGGGCUCGUCAGAAAAGGGAGCUUCGGCCUCCGGCCGAGGAGGGACUCGCGGCGGAUUAGCUUGUUGGUGGGGUAACGGCUCACCAAGGCGACGAUCCGUAGCUGGUCUGAGAGGACGAUCAGCCACACUGGGACUGAGACACGGCCCAGACUCCUACGGGAGGCAGCAGUGGGGAAUCUUGCGCAAUGGGCGAAAGCCUGACGCAGCGACGCCGCGUGCGGGAAGAAGGCCUCGGUUGUAACG
This 407-nucleotide ribosomal RNA is filed under the name uncultured bacterium. RNAcentral's name for it is "bacterial SSU rRNA". It matches the Rfam family "Bacterial small subunit ribosomal RNA", at positions 28 to 430 of the family's 1533-position model. The record is from RNAcentral.